AUUGAACGCUGGCGGCAUGCCUUACACAUGCAAGUCGAACGGUAACAGGUCUUCGGAUGCUGACGAGUGGCGAACGGGUGAGUAAUACAUCAGAACGUGCCCGAGAGUGGGGGAUAACGAAGCGAAAGCUUUGCUAAUACCGCAUACGAUCUCAGGAUGAAAGCAGGGGGACCGCAAGGCCUUGCGCUCACGGAGCGGCCGAUGGCAGAUUAGGUAGUUGGUGGGAUAAAAGCUUACCAAGCCGACGAUCUGUAGCUGGUCUGAGGGGACGACCAGCCACACUGGGACUGAGACACGGCCCAG
RNAcentral lists this ribosomal RNA (303 nucleotides) under uncultured Acidovorax sp. RNAcentral describes it as "bacterial SSU rRNA". It matches the Rfam family "Bacterial small subunit ribosomal RNA", at positions 30 to 334 of the family's 1533-position model. The record is from RNAcentral. Lineage: Bacteria; Pseudomonadati; Pseudomonadota; Betaproteobacteria; Burkholderiales; Comamonadaceae.